Molecule: ribosomal RNA, 430 nt
Filed under: Actinomycetes bacterium
Lineage: Bacteria; Bacillati; Actinomycetota; Actinomycetes
Description: Actinobacteria bacterium partial 16S ribosomal RNA
Rfam family: Bacterial small subunit ribosomal RNA
Source: RNAcentral
UAGGGAAUCUUCCGCAAUGGGCGAAAGCUUGACGGAGCAACGCCGCGUGAGUGAUGAAGGUCUUCGGAUCGUAAAACUCUGUUAUUAGGGAAGAACAAAUGUGUAAGUAACUAUGCACGUCUUGACGGUACCUAAUCAGAAAGCCACGGCUAACUACGUGCCAGCAGCCGCGGUAAUACGUAGGUGGCAAGCGUUAUCCGGAAUUAUUGGGCGUAAAGCGCGCGUAGGCGGUUUUUUAAGUCUGAUGUGAAAGCCCACGGCUCAACCGUGGAGGGUCAUUGGAAACUGGAAAACUUGAGUGCAGAAGAGGAAAGUGGAAUUCCAUGUGUAGCGGUGAAAUGCGCAGAGAUAUGGGGGAACACCAGUGGCGAAGGCGACUUUCUGGUCUGUAACUGACGCUGAUGUGCGAAAGCGUGGGGAUCAAACAGGA